RNAcentral lists this ribosomal RNA (655 nucleotides) under uncultured Basidiomycota. RNAcentral describes it as "LSU rRNA". It matches the Rfam family "Eukaryotic large subunit ribosomal RNA", at positions 1 to 635 of the family's 3401-position model. Lineage: Eukaryota; Fungi; Basidiomycota. The record is from RNAcentral.
CCUCAAAUCAGGUAGGACUACCCGCUGAACUUAAGCAUAUCAACAAGCGGAGGAAAAGAAACUAACAAGGAUUCCCCUAGUAACUGCGAGUGAAGAGGGAAAAGCUCAAAUUUGAAAUCUGGCGGUUCUUGUAGCCGUCCGAGUUGUAGUUUAGAGAAGUGCUAUCCGCGCUAGACCGUGCAAAAGUUUCUUGGAAAAGAACAUCAUAGAGGGUGACAAUCCCGUCUUUGGCACGGACUCUAGGGCUUUUGUGAUGCGCUCUCGACGAGUCGAGUUGUUUGGGAAUGCAGCUCUAAAUGGGUGGUAAAUUCCAUCUAAAGCUAAAUAUUGGCGAGAAACCGAUAGCGAACAAGUACCGUGAGGGAAAGAUGAAAAGAACUUUGAAAAGAGAGUUAAACAGUACGUGAAAUUGUUGAAAGGGAAACGCUUGAAGUCAGUCGUGUCUUGCGGAGAUCAAGUCAACCUCGGUUGGCCGUACUCUCCGCUAUGACAGGUCAGCAUCAAUUUUGACCGCUGGAUAAAGGCCUUGGGAAUGUGGCAUCCUCGGAUGUGUUAUAGACCAGGGUUCGGAUACAGUGGUUGGGAUUGAGGAACUCAGUGUGCCUUCAUGGCUGGGGCUUCGGCUCACACGACACACUUAGGAUGCUGGCAUAUA